This is a long non-coding RNA of Etheostoma spectabile (orangethroat darter), 440 nucleotides long. RefSeq lists it as uncharacterized. The transcript has 3 exons. The record is from RefSeq and is a predicted model, not a curated record. NCBI's taxonomy places the organism in Eukaryota, Metazoa, Chordata, Actinopteri, Perciformes, Percidae.
UCCAAAAACCUAUGAUAUCCAAGUCUUUGACCAAGUUUAAAAGUAGCUGUGUUUCUCCUUCUUCUCUGGUCUGCAGCCUUGCAAACUGUUGGCUGAUUUGUUUUUGUACAGCAACCAUAGCAACGUACAGAGCUGACCAUGAGCCGUAAACAGGUCAGAUGCUGUAAACUGGGCGUAAACUGUGGUAAAAACCCUGAUUGAGAAGUAUAUUCCAAAAGCGCUGUAUACAUGUCCAAAGAAUGCUUCUGAAACCUGAAUAGUACCAGAAUAUCCCACGUCUUAAUCAGAAAAUGCUAUUUUGGGGAAAAAGGCCUUAUUCGGAAUAUCAAACCGGAAUUUGCUGUUUACAUGACCUGUAUCAAAUUUGGAAUACUGUCAUAUUUGGAAUAAGAUUGGAAUAUUGGCGUGCAUGUAAACAUACUCUCUGAUAAGUAAUUGAG